ACUGCGAGCGCUGCCCGCGCCGCUCCCUCGCCGGGCGGGCGCGGGGCCGCCCUUGGCCGCGGGAAGAGCGAGCAUCGGAGCAGCGCCCCGUCCUCGGGGCCCCCGGUGCCGGCCAGCGGGCUGCUCUUCGCCAGAUUUGGAUUAUGGUGGUUUUCUAACCCAGCCACAGUUCUGCAGUAUAGAACAGGUUCUGGCAUACACACUGUGCCCUAAAGAAAGUUCUGGCUGUAGGUAGAAUGCCAUGAACAAUUCCUUAUUGUCUGAGUGGCUUCAGAGGAAACGUUCAUGAGUUAUUUUCUCAGAUGCAGGUAGACUGUCUUCAAAUAAUGUCAAGUUUCUGUGCUCCUUCUGUCUAAAUUUGAGUUUCCCCAGCCUGCCUGGUUAGGUGUUCCUCAACCAGACGCCAGGAGGAGACGGCAGAGAGAGCCCGGGCUCCCGCAGGGCUGAGCAGCGAGUCAGGGGCUCUACGCCUCAGGGCUCUGGCCUGUGCUGCAAACUCCUCUAACUUCUGCCUUGGAACCAGUGGAGGAGCACCUGGAGCACACCUCGGUGUUCCAAGGACAGAGACUCCCUGACUCACCGUGGCAGACAGGCAGGAGGAGGCCCAGAAGGGAGGGAGCCAGGUGAGAGCAAAGUGCCCCUCCCGCAGCCUGGCAGAGGGGCUGUCAGGGUGGGCAGCACAGGUGCCAUGCCCGGGGCCACUGUCU
Long non-coding RNA from Pseudopipra pipra, 707 nucleotides. RefSeq lists it as uncharacterized. Lineage: Eukaryota; Metazoa; Chordata; Aves; Passeriformes; Pipridae. The transcript has 4 exons. The record is from RefSeq and is a predicted model, not a curated record.